UUUUUUUUUAAUUAGAGCUACACACGUGUUAGUUCUAUCUGCCUUUCACCAUCUCUGUAAGCCAAUCAAGUUAAGAUCAGUGUCAUUCUUCUUCGCCUCCUAUCUCUCGAUUACAUUACUAUGGUUUCACAUUUUACUUUAUCCUCCCCAAAUCGAGUCUUCUCCCUUCUUCUACUUGCUGCUACCUCCACCGCUUCAGGCGAUGUACCGACAACCAACCACCGGAGUUCGCGGUUUACCCUCUGCUCCACUACCGUCUCUACCAGAAAAAAGAAUGACACCCCGGAUAUACCAUCACUUCCUCACCUUUUUAUCUCAUUAAUUUCCACAUUAAAUUUGUCUCCUCUGCUAACAGAAGCCGCACGUUCUUCUCAACCUAGCGGCUUCUGAUUGGAAAUCAAGAAGGAAUUCAGGUUGCCCGGUGCCCCUUCUCCGAUGAAGAAGCCAUCGUCACUGUUCGUCGCGAGAAUCAACGAAGAUUCGGUCGUUGGGUUUGCAAAUUCUAGGGUUUAUCAUGGUUCUGUUGGUUGAUUAGAUUUUGAUGACCCCAAGUCCUAAUUUAUGAUCAAAGAUGAGGUUGAUAAAUGGAAAAAUGAAGGUACGAAUCGCAGGGGUUCUCGAUUCCUCUAUGACGACCACCGGAGAGCGCCGCCUCGAUUUUUGAUAGCCUAAUAUUAGGUACGCAGACGACAGAGGAUUUUUUGUUGUUCGACAUAAUAUCUUACCCAGGUUUUUGGUUGCUAAAACAUGGACUGAGGAAAGGGGAAAAAACAAACUAGAUAGGGAGAUCAUUAACAAAGGACUAUUAGUUACUUCUCCAGCGAUUCGCCUUCAUUAAUCCUAGCUUUCUCUCUAUACUAUCAAAUGAAUCUUAUCGACAACAUCCCCAAUGGAAGUAUUAUGAUGUAUCUAUAGCCGCCUGCUAUUUUCAUAUUCCCAGCUUCAAAAUUGGUUUCCAGGUUGGUGAACACCGUUUUGAACAAAAUUUGUCAAUAUAACCUCAAAACAAUUUCAUUUUAGAGGUGUCACGCCUGAUCAUGCCAAUGCAUUAUCGUCAUUAUCAAAGGCUGUAGACAAAGGUGCACCAAGGUCUAUGGAGCUUCUUGGUGGUGGUUCUUUGGAGCAGGGUGCUGACGACGCGGUUUUCAAAAAAAUUAGAGGUUUUUUCAAGGAGUUGCCUCCGAUGUUAUCGGUGUUUGACGAGAUGAUCAAGCAGGAGCAACUAUGUGUUUUCAUGAUUAUUAGAGAAAUUUGAAGAAACAGAAGAAGCAGAGUAGGUGUUUGAUAAAAUAUCUAUUUGAAAUUGUGUUUGAAAUCAAUAAAUGGUAAGUAUUCUUAUCAAUUUCAGCCAUGUUUCUCUACCAACUAAAAUUUUUCAUCCAUUUGCAAAUUUAUCUUUCAAAGUUUACAUUCUAUUAUCAUAACAUCUAUGUUUCUUUGAAGACUAAUAUGCCCUGAAGAAGGUAAUAUGCAUUCCUUAUUCAUUCCAUCAUGUAAUGAAAUAAAAAUUUACAAUAUAACCUAAUUUUAUUUAUGUAGUUUGUUGACAUAAAUCUUUUCAAAACUAAAAAUAAGUCUCCAAUCUUUAAAUUAACAAAAUAACCUUUUUAAGUUCUAACAAUCUUAAAUAUUUGUAGCUUAUAAGUAUGACAAGGGUAGUCAUGACAAAGGCCCGUGGACAUAUUUUAGCAGCCAUCGAUUGGCUCAAUAAAUAUCGUGAGAUAUUCAUGGCAGGUCAUGAUGCCUGGAGAGAACUUGCUGAGAUAUAUGUUUCAUUGCAACUGUACAAACAAGCAGGUUUCUGUUAUGAGGAGUUGAUCUUAUCUCUACCGAUCAUUCCUAUACAUCAUCUUGCUUAUGUUGAUGAUUUGCGAGGAAAAAAGGUCAAAUAAUAUAAAUAAUAUAAUUAACAGGUGGAAAAAACAUCAGAGCGCUUUUGGUCUUUACUUGUUGGCCAUGAGUACAUGAGUGGCGGAACCGAAAGUUACUGUUAUGGACACAUUCCAGAUUGUGGUGGGUCGGCUAAAAGGGGAUACUCAAUUAGGCAUGAUUAUAGAAUUUCUGCACAAAAACUACAUGAUGCAACUUAUCGGGGAAUUGUUGGUGUAAGCUUUGAUGUUGUGCAAUACGGGUAAUGUAUUAUAACCUGGAUUGCCUUUUGUUGGAAUUGGAGGGAUCUUAUUUGGUUAUCAUACUGGGGACAAGAAGCAGAGAAGCAUACGCGGUUGCAUGUAAAUAGAUCUGGAAAUGGGACAGGUUUGGAGCGAAUCGACCUUAAUCCAAACCCUUUUAACAAAUUCCAAAACCCGCUCCGUAACCCGCAGGGUUUUGUAUAAUCAAACCCAUACCUUUAUCCACCGAAUCAGCAGAUAUUCAAACCCACCCCGUAACCCGUAGGUUUUUUGAAUAAUCAAACGCAUUUUACUUAAAUCAUAAAAUCACAUUUGUUAAAUAGAACAAAUGUUGAUUUAGAAAACACAUUAUGUACUCGAAGAAUAUCGAUUGGAAUUAAAAUCAUUAUUGUAGUUACUUCCGAUUGGUUUUUGACCCUCGAUUGCAUUGAUAGAGAUUAACAAUUACAAAAUUUCUUCCAAUUGAUAAAUAAAUUUAUUGAUUUAUAAAUGAAAUUGGUGAUUAUAUGAUGAAAUAUAAAUGAAAUGACAUCAUGAUUCUUGGAAGAAGACUGGCAGUCUAGAAGUUGAA
Molecule: non-coding RNA, 2703 nt
Organism: Lactuca sativa (garden lettuce)
Lineage: Eukaryota; Viridiplantae; Streptophyta; Magnoliopsida; Asterales; Asteraceae
Source: RefSeq, a predicted model, not a curated record